This 11685-nucleotide long non-coding RNA is filed under the name Phaseolus vulgaris (common bean). Its description in RNAcentral is "long non-coding RNA (PVUL_LNC001349)". Lineage: Eukaryota; Viridiplantae; Streptophyta; Magnoliopsida; Fabales; Fabaceae. The record is from RNAcentral.
AAAAAAGGAUUAGAGUGAGAGCAGACGUUAAAAACAGUGAUAAACAUUUGAGCGACAAUGGCAGGAAAUAAGAAGGUUGUGAGGCUCAUGUCUAGCUGUUAUCCGUUGGAAGUGAACACCAAAAUGCCGAAAUUGGAAGAUGAAGAUGUAACCACCGAGUUCACAUACUCCCUCGGUAACACCCGCGUAACUAUGAAGAUAACCGAAGUGAUUUCCUCCUCCGGUGGUGUAAAACAAGUGUACAUCGACUUCUGCGAGAACAGUGGCAAGGGUUCUUUGGCUAAGCUGAACCUGCGACUCUCGGAAAACAAGAGGUACGGCAUUUUAUGCAAUUUCAUGAACACUUCAUUCGAGGGGUCCUAUAAUUCGAAGAAGAAUCAUUACUACGCGCCACCUUUACCUGAGAGAGAAGUGCUUACUUACUAUAGUCUUGAGAGUGGUUGCGGAGGGUGUUUCACUCUGGAGAAGAAGAAGAAGGACGAGUAUGGUGUGGUGGUGACGGUGAAGGUCACGCACGAUUUCAUCGUCGGCGAAGAGACCAUGCACGUGAAAGUGAAAAUAGGGUAUGCUGAUGGUGGAGGAGAAAAAGGGUUGAAAGUUGAAGUGGAUGGACCAGUGAAGCUUACGAUGGAGUAUGUGAAACAUGUCGUUUCCAGAUCGGAGAGGAAGAUGUGGACUGCGAUUGAGAAGGCAAGUACCGAUGGAGACGGCGGCGCCGUUGACUCCGGCCGCAAGAGAAUACAAAUGGACGCCCUAACAAAUUUGGAAAUAGAACCACACACUGUUGUCCCUUGUAAUAAAUAUGCUCCGUACAUUAAAGAGUAGGGAGUGGAAAUCUUUUAUAAAAUAAUUAAACUAAAUAUAUUUGAAUUUUAAAUUAUUAAGUAAAAAAAAUGUAAUUUAAAUAUUAUUAUUUUGAGUCGUGUGUAUUUUUUUAUUAUGUAUGUCAAAAUAUAAUCACUAAACAUCUCAGGAUUACUUUUAGUGAGUUUAGAUAUAUGUAAAUGGAAUGGAUUACCCUGUAUUCCUAAUAACAAAAAAUACCUUAAGGGAGUGAAUAAUAUCUUUGUUACAAAAUUUAUUGAAGAUUCAAUGUGUAUAUUUUGCAUGUAUAACUAUUAAAGUAUUAUAGAAUUCCACUAGUUUAUUUGUUAUUUAUAAAAUGUAUUCUCAAUCAAAAGAAAACAAAUAAUAGAAAAAGAGAUCACUUCAAUUCUAAAAUUAUUUUUUUAUAAAAUGUUUGAUAUAAAAAAUAUCACCCUAUGAAAUAUAACCAACAAAGUAGUGUUGGGGUUAGGUUCUUACAACAAGUUUAAAAUUAAAAUGGAAAACUAUGAACACAAGUACUUCAACAUCUAACAACAUAUUUUAAUAGUUCUUCUCUCCGUUUCAUUCAUCUUCUCGAUCACUGUAUGAAGUCUUUUGGUUUUUUAUAAGGUUUUUUUUUUUCACUUAAACCAAUCCCUUCUUUAUUUUAAGCACAAAUUCACUUAUUUGCAUUCAGCAUGAAUAUUAUCUACGAAUUUGGAUUCUGAAUUACUAAUGAUAUCAAUGCAUGGGUAUUACUCAUGAUAUUAAUCAAUGGGUAUUAUCUGUAGAUAUACAUCCACCCAUAUAUAUAGAUCCAUGGAUAUUACUCCAAAGAUAAAGAUCCAAGGAUAUGGAUUUAUGUAGAUAAAUUUAUGUACGAAUCUAGUUGUAUGUAAAUUUAUUCAUGGACCUAUAUGCAUGACUAAUAUUAAUAAUAUUUUUUAUUAAUUUAUUAAUUAUUAAUAAAUGUUAUUUUUAUCAUUAAUAUUAAUCUUUUUAUUAAUAUUGUUAGUAUUGUAAUUAAUGUUAACUAAUAUUUUAAAUAUCUUUAUGUCAUUAUUUUUCAAUGUUAUUAAUAUUAUUAUUAGUGUUAUUAUUAAUAAUAAUAAUAUCAACAUUAUUAUUGGUAUUGUUAUAACUCUUGAAGAAAUAGUAUUCCUCCCUUUACAAAAUAUCUCUCUAUAAUAAUAUAUAUUAGAAUUUUAAAUUAAAAAAAUAUAUAUUAUUUUAAGUUAUCAAAUGUGUAUUUUCUGUAUAAUGAAUCAAAAUAUCACAACUAAAACAUCUCUGAACCUUACUACAGCUUUAAUAAUAUAAUAAUACAUAUUAAAAUUUUAAAUUAAAAAAUAAAAUAAAUAUAAUUAAAAUAUUAUGAUUUGCAGUUGUCAAAUGUGUAUAUGAUGAAUGUAAAAAUAUAACAACUCAAACAUCUCCGAGAUGAGGUCUGAUGAUACUGAAUAAUGUCUUUUAUUACAAAAAGUUUAUUAAAGAUUCAAUGUGUAUACAAGGGGUUUGACUUUGCUACACUAAUAGGUUUUCAAGUGGGAGAGGGAAAGGUAAGGAAAGGUAAGGAAAGGUAAGGUUGUCUUCAUGGCUGAUACUUCGUUUUUCUUCACUAAUAUUCUGCCUGGUCAUGAAGAAAAGGAGCUUUGGAAUAUUUUUUAAAGACGGGGUAGAGUUUUGGAUGUUUUCAUACCCAAAAAACUUAAUUAUAGAAAACAACGCUUCGGGUUUGUGAGGUUCCAAGGGGUGAGGGAUGUUUGUGAGUUAGAAAGAAGGUUGGAUGCUAUUUGGAUUGGGUUAUGGAAAUUACGUGUGAACAUAGCCAGAUACCGUAAGAAAGAACCGCCAAAGGAAGCGCGUAAUCAGAACCGGAGGGUGGAGGGCUCUAAAAAAGUUUGGAGCCAGAAGGAGAUGCACCGUUCAUUCACAAAAGUGGUUAUGUCUGGGAGUGCGAGUUUGCCUCAGGGAAAAAAGAGUGAUGGUGAACAAAAGGAGCUCGAAUUUGAUUUGCCUUGUUUUAAGGUGGACGUGGAGCCAUCAUUGUUGCUCGAGAGUUGUUUUAUUGGGAGGUUCUUGGAACUGUCUAAUUUUCAGGCAGUUAAGGAGAGUGUUGUGGUGGGUGGUUAUGGUUCGUUAAGUCUUAGCUAUCUUGGAGAGAAUUUUAUGCUGCUAGCUGGUGAUGGUGAGAUUUCUGUCGCGAAGGUCAUUGAUGAUAACAAAGAGUGGUUAAGGGAUAUCUUUGAUUCUCUUGUCCCAUGGGAUAAUUCUUUCUCCGUCUCUGGUAAAAGUUGCUUGGGUUCGAAUUAGGGGUUUACCAUUGAUGUUUUGGAAUAGACAAUGCUUUGAACUCAUUGGGGAGUUAGUAGGAAAGUUUAUUGAGGUGGAUGAGGCGACGGAGGCACGAGAGAUUAUUGAGUUUGCUAGAUUACGGAUCAAGAUUCCAGCGGGCGGGAAUGCAAAUGUGGUAAAAAGUAUUAUUAUAAAUGAUUAUCGGUGUCGGAUAACCUUUGAAGAAGAUACGUGUCAUCGUUUUUCUCAGCUUGGUUGCAGUAAGUGCAUGGAAUGGGGGCAACUGUCUGAGGGGAGUUCGGAGGCACGCUACUUAGUCACUGAUGAUGAAGAUGUGGUUGAGUCCGUGUUUUUGGACAUUGGAGGAGAAGAUGAUGGAGCUAAGGGCAACUUAGUUUUAUUAGAAGAUCCAGAGUUCAUAGAUUUUUCUUCUAAAGUUGGUGUAGACCUAAAAGAGGGAGUAAUGACUGUUUUGGGAAGCCAAAACAAUGAGUGGGAAAGGUUGGGAAGCCAAAACCGUGCAUGGGAAAGAAUGGAGAUGGGCGGCGCAUUUAAGGGGGUCCAAAACCAUGUGUCAAGUGGUGUAAAUGAGAGUAGUUCUGGAAAAGAAGGGGGGUGGUCUGAUGAGUUUUUCUGUGUUGGGCCUACUUUGGCCCAAGUACACGUGGUUGGUGGGGCGGAGCAGCCAUUGGUUUCAGACCCAUUUGCAGACGUGGCAGACCAUGUAGGUUUCCUUGCAACAUGCGACUUUGGGGUGGGCGGAGAAGUGUAUCCAAGCGGCGUUGCCCUUGGUGGUACGCCAGCCAGCGACGACGCGGUGGCUCUGACAAUGUCAAAUACUCUACCUACGAAGGGGUGGUCGAAUAAAGCGGAGAUGAAGGUUGACGGCGACACCGUUAGUUACGUCAACGAUAAUAGUGACGACGCCUCUUGGGCACCUACUGGGUGCGUCGCCGUGUGACGAGGUGGCAGCGGCACCCGUUUAUAGAGACAAAGGGCUCGAGGUCACCGGCGGAAGAGGUCUAGGUUACGACGAGCAUUUGGGUGGUUCGCCGGCGGUGGAGGGUUUGUCUGCAACGGCGGACGGAGGAGAAGUUGACGGUGCUAAUAGGAGUGUCGGGAAGGAGUCAGUAGGGGCGGUUGAGAUGGUGUUUUCGACGGAGGCAGCAGGUGGAAAAAGACUUGGCAACACUUUAUCUAAAACCAGCCUUAAGAAUAUGAGAAAGAAAGUCGCUCUGUCCUCGCUGGCGGGUAAAAGGUUAGAAACUACUGUCUCUUCUAUUUCUGACAAUGAUGUAAGGAACUGUAAUAAUCGUUAUUGGCUGGAAAAUAAGGAAUCGAAAGCCCAAAAAAUUUGGAACAUGGGAAAAGUUUUGGGGUUUUCGUUUGCUGGGAAGGAAGAAGUGGUAGUUAAAAAUUUGCAAGCCUUGGAAGCUCGGGACAGAGAUAACAUGUUGCUCAAAAGGAAGGAGAGUGUAGUUUCUGAUGAUGAAAAUAAUUAGUUUGAAUGUGAAGGGGUUAGGAGGAAGUAACAAAAGAAGAUAUCUAAAGGAGUUGAUUUUCAAAGAACAGGUAGGAAUGGUGUGUAUUCAAGAGACUAAGUGUUCUGAGUUCGGAGAAGAGAAUUGCUUCAAUAUGUGGGGUUCUAAUGAAAUAGACUGGAUUGAAAUUGGGUCUAUCAAUAAUGUUGGUGGGAUUAUUACUUUAUGGAGGAGGAGUUGUUUCCAUUUAUUAAGCUCUGUUAAUGGGAAUAAUUUCUCGAUUAUUGAAGGGGUAUGGAAGGUUGGUGACGGAGUAAGAGUAACUAUUGUGAAUGUUUAUAGCUCAGGUUCUCUGAAGGAAAAGAAAGCGAGUUGGGAUGAAAUUAAUGCUCAUAGAGCGUGUCAGUUAAACAGGAUCUGGUGUGUAGUAGGGGACUUCAACUCAAUCAGAACAAAGGAGAAGAGGAAAAGUUUGGCUAUGGGCUUGAAUUAUAAUAGAGAAAUGCGGGAUUUUAAUGAGUUUAUUGGAAAGGCUGAAUUAAUAGACAUUCCGAUGGUUGGUCAGAAAUUCACUUGGUAUAAACCGAAUGGUACUGCUAAAAGUAGAAUUGAUAGAGUCCUUGUCUCUAAGGAAUGGAUGGAGGAGUGGUCGAACAGUAAGUAGUUCGUACUUAGUAUAUCUAUUUCAGAUCAUUGUGCUUUGGUAAUUAAAGAUUCCUGUCCAGAUUGGGGUCCGAAACCUUUUUGCAGUCUGGAUGUCUGGCAAAAAGACAACAAGUUCCGAGAGUUUGUUCGAAGUAAAUGGCUUAGUUAUGAAGUUUACGGUAGGGGUUUGUUUGUCUUCAAAGAAAAAUUGAAGAAGCUAAAAUAUGAUUUAAAAGUAUGGAACAGAGACGUGUUCGGAGAUGUUAAUCUGAAAGGGGAGAUUUUAAAAAAGAAAAUUGAGGAUUUUGAUGCUCGAGAUGAUGCUGGUGUCUUAGAUGAGGAAGGCAGAGUGGAGAGGAGGUAUUUGCUAGCAGAACAAAAUGAAAAUGCUUUUAGACAAGAAACAAUUAUUCAUCAGAAAGCUCGCCUUAAGUGGUUAAAAAAUUGUGACCUUAAUUCAAAGUUUUUUCAUUCGACUGUUAAAUGGAGGAGGGCAAGAAACGGAAUUAAUUGACUAGUAGUUGAUGGUUGUGGAGUGAAGAUAAGGAGGUGGUUAAAGGUAAGGUUAGGGACUUCUUCAAUGCCAGAUUUGAAAGUGUUGAUGGGCUUCAAGUCAGGUUGGAUAAUGUGCCUUUCAAUUCUAUCUCUGCUGCUAAUAAUGAGAUGUUGGUCAGUACUUUCUCCGAAGAGGAAGUCAAGGAGACUGUUUGGGAUUGUGAAAGCUCGAAAAGUCCUGGUCCGGAUGGAUUUAACUUUGGGCUCAUCAAGUUUUGUUGGGAGUUUAUUAGGGAGGAUAUCCUGCUGGUCGUAAACGAUUUUGCUAUAGUCGGAAAAUGGCCUAGGGGGACAAAUGCGUCGUUCGUGUGUCUGGUCCCUAAGCUGGAGAAUCCACAAAGUUUAUGUGAUUUUAGACCUAUUUCUCUGGUUGGAUGUCUAUAUAAGAUCAUACCGAAGUUGCUAUCUCUGAGGCUUAAAAAGGUGAUGAGUAAAAUCAUUGACUCGAGACAGUCUACGUUUCUAGCUGGUAGGGAAUUUUGGAUAGUGUGUUGGUGGCCAAUGAAGUCUUAGAGGAGGCAAAAAGGAGGAAGAAGAACUGCUUAUUUUUCAAAGUGGAUUAUGAGAAGGCUUAUGAUUCGGUAAGGUGGGAUUUCAUCAGUUAUAUGCUUGAAAGAUUAGGUUUUUGUGAACAAUAGAUUGCUUGGAUUAAAUCUUAUCUGGAGUCUGCAACGGUAUCUGUGUUGGUUAAUGGCAGUCUGACUAAGGAAUUCGUUCCUUCAAAGGGUUUGAGACAGGGUGAUCCUUUGGCUCCGUUUCUUUUCCUUGUUGUAGCUGAAGGUUUAGCAGGAGUGGUAAGGAAUGUUGUCUUGUUUGACUGGGUGGAGAGUGUGGAGGUUGGGAGGAAUAAGGUUAAGGUUAAUAUGCUUCAGUAUGCAGAUGAUACCUUGUUCUUCUGCAAAGCAACAACCAAAAGUGUUUUCUGUUUAAAAUCUAUUCUGACUUGCUUUGAGCUGGCUUCAGGUCUAAGUGAACUUUCUGAAGAGUAGUAUUGGAGGUGUGGGGUUGAUACUUUCACGAUCAGUUGUUUCGCAAAAAUGCUUAACUGUGAAGUGAUGAAUUAUCCUUUCAAGUAUCUUGGGUUUCCUGUUGGGGGAUGUCACAAAAAGGAAGCGUUUUAGGAUGGGGUGGUUGAGAAGAUAAAGGAAAGACUGGGAAGAUGGAAAGGCAGAUUUAUCUCGAUGGCAAGAAGAAUUUGUCUGAUUAAAUCUAUUCUCUCUGCUAUCCCCUUGUUCUAUACGUCUUUGUUUAAAAUCUCUGCUAUUGCUAGGAAGAAGAUUGUGAAAAUUCAAAGAAACUUCCUAUGGGGUUGGAGGUCAGGUGGGCGAAAGAUUGCGUGGGCUUCUUGGGAGAAGGUGUGCGAACCCCGUGGAAAUGGUGGUCUCGGGGUUAUUAAUAUUAAAUUUUUCAACAUUGCUUUGUUGGGGAAAUGGAUUUAGAGGUUGGGUUUUUCCAAAGGUGGUCUGUGGGAGGAGGUGGUAGAAUCUAAGUACGGGGGUUGGAGAAAGUUGAAAGGGCCAAGUUCAAAAACGAUGGGGUCCCUUUGGUGGCGGGAGCUAAAGGCGAUUUGGUCGAUGGAGGAAUGGGGGAGAGAGUUCGACGACCGUUUCAAUUGAAAAGUCGGUAAUGAGAAGGAAAUUAGGUUUUAGGAAGAUAAAUGGGUGGGCGAUUUGGAGUUGAAAAACAAAUUCCCAAGGUUAUACUCUCUUUGUAGGGAUGAAGAUGAGUUGUUGGAAUGUUGUGGGGUCUGGGAAGAAGGAGAGUGGAACUGGAAGUUUGGGUGGAGAAGAAAUUUAUUUGAUUGGGAGAAGUCUCAGGUAGACCAACUUUUUGAAGAAAUUAGAGGUUUGAGUAUUGAUUCGGAUAUUAAUGACUCGUGGGUUGUUGUUCUUUUUGCCCCUUGUUUUGGUUGCAGUAAGUUUGUAUUGGGUUUGUUUUGAGUUUGUAUGGGUUUGUUUUGAGUUUGUACGGGUUUGUACGGGUUUUUUAGUGGUAGAUUUUUUUGUCUCUCUCAUUUUGUUGGUUUAGGAGACCUGAAAUUUGAUUCAUAUUAUAUAGGUACGUAUAAGGGUUGACUCACCCCUUAAAUGGUUCCUGUUAUUCAAUUCUUAUUGCUAAUAAAAAAAAUGUGUAUACAAGACUUAUUUAGUGGUAUUACUUUUUUACAUUUUUAACUAUUAAAGCAUUCUUAAAUAAUUCUAAAAGUUAUUUGCUAUCUAUUAAAUAUGUUCUAAAUUAAAAUAAUAAUAAAAUAAUAGAAAGAAAGAUCACUUCCAUCCUAAAAUUAUUUUUCUUUGAUUUUAAAUUUGAUAUACAAAAUAUUGCACCUAUGAAAUAUAAACAACAAAGUAGUAAUGAAGAGUUUUAUAAACUGAUUUUAUUAGGUCGAGUUAGUCUUAAAAUUCAGUUCUUAAUAAAAGUUUUUUCUAACAUAAAAAUCGUAGUAAGUAUUUUCAAAUAAAAAAUCAUUAAAUAGAAAUCAAUUUUAUAUGAAAAAAUAAUUAAUUAUUAUAUUAACUAAAUUAGUUUUUAUUAUUGAUAAAUAAUUUCUAAAUUAAUUUAUAUUUAAAUGAUUUUCCUGUAAUAAUAUUUUAUUUUAUGUCGUUAUGGAAAAUCUAAGUCCAUGAAUGCACGUUUCUCUUUAAUUGGAAAACAAAAAAUAAUUCAGUUUUCUUCCUUUUAAUUUUCCGAAAUUAAAAUAUUAAAUAUCAAGUUCUCAUCUAGCCAGAAAGAGAAUAAACGCAAUAAGAAGAAAAGAAAUAUAAGAAUUAUACUCCCACUGUGAUUAUUCUAUUAAGAUCAUAAAGGAUAGAUGCUCCUUUCUAGCAUGAUAUUGAUAAUUAUAAUGUAUUAUUCUAUAUUGAUAAUAUAGGAUCGAUUCUCUUUUUUUAUUGGAUACAAUAUAUUAUUUUCAAUUUAGAAAAAAAAUAUUUUGAUAACUUUCUACCUAUCUUAAUUUGACUAUUUUAAAUAUAUAUAUAUAUAAGUAAAUUUUAAAACACCAUCACUUUGUUCAAGAUAAGAAAAAAAAAAUAAUUAUUUUUUAUCAGUAAAAAAUAAAUAAAUAAUAAAGAUAUUUCAAGGAUACUUCAAUCCUUAUACAAGUAAGUCAUCAUGUGAUUCCAAACAUAAAACAUAUCAAAGACAGAAUUCCAAAUCAGAUUAGAGUAGCACAAUCAUAACAACCUAAGACUUCUAACAUCCAAAAAUAAAAUCAACACAAAAACUAAUCCAAACUAACUACAUAUAUCUAUCAACAUACCUUGCAAUUCAUCUAAACCCAUCUUUUGUUUGUUCAACCACCUAAAGCUUUAUGAUAGAUUUCAUGCAUAUCAGCGGCUUAAGGCACCAGUUAGAAUACGAUAAGCUUGCAAGACGAACCUUGAAAGUCACCCAUGACCAAACCUUCAAUUGUGUCAUUAUGAAAGUCUCAAUAUGGUCUAUCCUACCAUUUUUAAAAAUGAUAUUGUUCCUAUGCUUCCACAAUUCGUCUACCACUGUUAUCCACACACAUUAUCAAAUCUGAUUACCAAUUUUAUUGAGUCCACUCAACUUAAAAUUUAUAAAAUGCCUUUUUGGUUCCCAAUGAUUUGUCGACGCUAACCCUAUCCACUCAUAGCACAUAGACCACAUGAGUCAAGCAACUCUACAAGUGCAAAAAACAUGGGACAUUGUUUCCUCUUCCUCCCCACACAAACUGCAAAUGUUACUUACUAUACUGAUCCUUAUUCUCUCCAAAAUCGCUUUAGUCGCUAACUUAUCUUCCAUGACCCUCCAUGUUGUGAAGUGAGAUGAAGGUUACCUUUAUCCCCAAAAAACUCUAAUACAUGGUCACUUCUUCUUUUAUCGGCAAGAAGCAAUACAAUUAAAUAGACCCACUUCAUGGGUGGUCUAACCCUUAUACAGAAUACAAGAGUUCAAAGAGUACUUUUCCAUAUACAUAUCAAACCAAAAUGUAACCUCCUACUGUCUGCCUCAACACUACCAACUAAAGUAGAAUUAGAAAUAUCAAGGAUCAACCCUUAUAAAGACAUUAAAUCAAAUGCAUACAUACCAAGGGUUCUAGGCACCCGUCAGAGAACGAGAAGCUCGCUGACAGUAUCUUUGAAUAGAUCUAGGACCAAACCUUAACCUGUGCUAGGGAAAAAACUUCAGUAUGAUCAACCACUCCACACCUUUAAAUAAACAAUUAUUCAUGUGUCUCCAAAUCUCACUAACCAAUGCAAUCCAGACAUUGUCCAUAAUAAAAUUAACUGAAGUAGACGCAUCUAGAAUCUUGAAAUGGUCAAAAUGAGACCCAGGAUCAAUAAGGUCGACCGAACGCACCCCUAACCUGUUAUAACAAUUAUUCCAAAUUAGCCAAGCAACUCUACAUCCGAAGAACAAAUGGUUUGUUGACUCCUCUGGUAUCCUGCACAAGCAACAAAGAUUGCUUUCGACCCCUAUACCUCGUCUCUUCAGAUUUACCAUACAAGCAACCUUGUUUUCAAUAACUCUCCAAGUUGUGACUAGGGAUGACAAAGCGAGGCGGGCCGUGCAGGCCGGCCCGCAGCCCGCUGGUAAAAAACGCGAGGCGGCUUAACCUUUUCAACCCGCUAACCCGCAAGAAAAAAAAUGGAUGAAAGUUCUUCUAAGACGGCAUCCAAUGUUAUUGAAAUGGAAGAAUGUCAAUAAUGUUUAUGUUUAAUGUUUUUGAAUUAAUGUUUAUGUUUAAUGUUUUGGAAUUAGGUAUUUUUAAUGUUUUGGAAGUGGAAGAAUAGUGAUAUUUGAUAUUUAUCUUAAUGUUUAAUGUUUUGAUGUUUGACUAUGUUUGAAAAGGAAGAAAAAAAAUUUAUGUUUGAUAGUAACAAAUAUAUAGGUUUAAUUUGAUAAUUUCUUAAGAACAAAAUGUAAACAAAAAAAUUAUAAAAAAAACGCAGGCUGGCCCGCAAACCCGCGGGCCAACUCUUAUGCGGGGCGGGUCGAGAAUUCUAGCCCCUAGUUGAGACGUGAGCUAAAGGAAACACCUUAAUCCUCCUGAAAAACUUGUACCUUCUCGAGUCUUCCUCGCAUCCCUCUCCCCUUAAAAAUCCAUAAGCAAACCUAACUAAAAACUAUGCUGACUCACUAUUCUUCCAAAACUCAUUUGUCUGCUUUUUCCAACUCAAGCCUCUGGUUGGAAAUCAUCUCUAAAAGUUGGCUUGCUUGAUCCUCCUCCCAAGCAAAAAAACCAUUUCUCCACCUUAAAUUCCACUCUCAGCAUUAACCCAUAUUUUGAGAAUCACAUAGAUUUGCCUCGAUAAGAAAAAUAACAUCUACUUUUGAAGUCUUUUACAUCUACUUUUGAAGUCUUUUUGAGAAUGCCCAUGCCCAAUUAUCUGACCCCAAAACUGAACAUCUUUCCCGUUUCCAACCUUCUAAUUCCGACAAUCUUCAAACUUCCCUCCUCAAACCUCCAAACUUUCAUUAAAUAUCUCCAUAAAAAAAUAUAACUUUGCUAAAUACAUCCAAUGGAUAAGAUUUUCUAGGUCUACGAUUAGAGAUGCUCUUCGUGGUUCUUUUAACAUAUAAUUCUUUGCCUUCUUUUAACACUUGGAAUCUGUGUGUAGGUUCAGUUUUACCUAUAAAGGAACAUGCAUGCAGGAAGACCGGAUUAGAGUCAGAGAGCUGAGAGAAAGAAAAAAGGUUAGAGUGAGAGCAGACGUUAAAGACAAUGGCAGGAAAUAAGAGCGUUGUGAGGUUCAUGUCUAGCGGUUAUCCGUUGGAAGUGAACACCAAAAUGCAGAAAUUGGAAGAUGAAGAUGGAACCACCGAGUUCACAUACUCCCUCGGUAACACCCACGUAACUAUGAAGAUAACCGAAAAGAUUUGCUCCUCCGGUGGUGUAAAACAAGUCUACAUCGACCUCUUCGAGAACAGUGGC